AUACGUAGGGUGCGAGCGUUGUCCGGAAUUACUGGGCGUAAAGAGCUCGUAGGUGGUUUGUCGCGUCGUCUGUGAAAUUCCGGGGCUUAACUCCGGGCGUGCAGGCGAUACGGGCAUAACUUGAGUACUGUAGGGGAGACUGGAAUUCCUGGUGUAGCGGUGAAAUGCGCAUAUAUCAGGAUGAACACCGGUGGCGAAGGCGGGUCACUGGCCAGUAACUACCUCUGAGAAGAAAAAGCUGGGGUAGCGAACAGGAUUAGAUACCCUGGUAGUCCAUGCCGUAAACGGUGGGCGCUAGGUGUAGGUGUCUUCCACGACUUCUGUGCCGUAGCUAACGCAUUAAGCGCCCCGCCUGGGGAGUACGGCCGCAAGGCUGAAACUUAAAGGAAUUGACGGGG
RNAcentral lists this ribosomal RNA (398 nucleotides) under uncultured bacterium. RNAcentral describes it as "partial 16S ribosomal RNA". It matches the Rfam family "Bacterial small subunit ribosomal RNA", at positions 523 to 918 of the family's 1533-position model. The record is from RNAcentral.